Molecule: non-coding RNA, 557 nt
Organism: Bactrocera oleae (olive fruit fly)
Lineage: Eukaryota; Metazoa; Arthropoda; Insecta; Diptera; Tephritidae
Source: RefSeq, a predicted model, not a curated record
GCCUCCAAAACUUGUACUAAAAACUAAGGAGUCCAAAUAAUUAAAAUGUCCCAAAAAAACUUCAGUCAAAUGUGUCAAAUAAGCGAAGUCAAUUUAGAAAUGAACUGAACUUUUGCAAAUUACUAGCAAAACUGAGUGAAAUGAUUCGAAUUUCGUUUGCAAAAUAUUUCGGCAAUCACAUCUGUGACAACGAAAGUGGAAAUUAAAAAAUUAUUGAAAAUAAACAACAACAAGAUAUACACCAAAAAGAAGUCAAUAAAUUUGUAUCUAACUGCUGCAAGACAAGAAGCUCUUUCAGCAUCAUAUUUGACAUCUGGUUUGUCGCUGGUUGUUAGUGGUUGCUUGUCGGAGACAAAAAUUAAACAUGCUAUUCAUUAUCUGCUCCUCUUACGGUAAAUAUGUAUGUAGAUGGAGAAAUGAAGUAUUUUCGUCGAAAUAUGCGAAUAUGUUUAUUUGUAUUCAAUGAUAUGAUAUGCUAACUACUUUUAUCAACUGAGACGCAAUAGUGUUGUGUUUUAAAUACCUUACCGUUGUUAAUUACACCUUUUUUAAGUCGA